This 497-nucleotide ribosomal RNA is filed under the name uncultured bacterium. Its description in RNAcentral is "partial 16S ribosomal RNA". It matches the Rfam family "Bacterial small subunit ribosomal RNA", at positions 28 to 507 of the family's 1533-position model. The record is from RNAcentral.
GAUGAACGCUGGCGGCGUGCCUAAUACAUGCAAGUCGAGCGAACGGACGAGAAGCUUGCUCCUCUGAUGUUAGCGGCGGACGGGUGAGUAACACGUGGAUAACCUACCUAUAAGACUGGGAUAACUUCGGGAAACCGGAGCUACUACCGGAUAAUAUUUUGAACCGCAUGGUUCAAUAGUGAAAGACGGUUUUGCUGUCACUUAUAGAUGGAUCCGCGCUGCAUUAGCUAGUUGGUAAGGUAACGGCUUACCAAGGCAACGAUGCGUAGCCGACCUGAGAGGGUGAUCGGCCACACUGGAACUGAGACACGGUCCAGACUCCUACGGGAGGCAGCAGUGGGGAAUCUUCCGCAAUGGGCGAAAGCCUGACGGAGCAACGCCGCGUGAGUGAUGAAGGUCUUCGGAUCGUAAAACUCUGUUAUUAGGGAAGAACAGAUGUGUAAGUAACUGUGCACGUCUUGACGGUACCUAAUCAGAAAGCCACGGCUAACUACGUG